RNAcentral lists this unclassified non-coding RNA (370 nucleotides) under Hevea brasiliensis (rubber tree). The record is from RNAcentral. Lineage: Eukaryota; Viridiplantae; Streptophyta; Magnoliopsida; Malpighiales; Euphorbiaceae.
CAGAAUUCGGCUUGGUUACCCCUAAGAUUGAUACAUAUGCUUUUGGGGUAAUUUUGUUGGAAUUAGUUACAGGAAAAGAAGCUGUGUUCAUGCAGGACGAAAGAGAAAUGCAAUUAUCAGAAACAAUCAUUUUAGUUAUGGAAAAAGAAGAUGCUCAAGCUCGGCUUUGCUGCCUUGUAGAUCCAAUUCUGCGCUCACGGUGCUCCAUGGAAGUUGUCCUGCGAAUGGUAAGGUUGAGUCUAGCCUGCUUACAACAGGAACCAGAAAGUAGACCAAGUAUGGCUGAAAUAGUUUCCUCCCUUUCAAAGAUUCAAUUGGAUGUUCACAGAUCAGAAUCUGUGUUAGUUAGGUAUGUUUAACUUUUUGUAAG